Molecule: long non-coding RNA, 746 nt
Organism: Drosophila biarmipes
Lineage: Eukaryota; Metazoa; Arthropoda; Insecta; Diptera; Drosophilidae
Exons: 3
Source: RefSeq, a predicted model, not a curated record
CGGAGCUGUCAAAGGCUGGUCCCAGAGCCAGAGCCCAAUUUGUUCAGUCGGCUAGUGUACUCCGUAGCAUCAACAUCUACUACAAAAAGCCAAGUAAAUGGCAGUCCCUGUGGCGGCCGAAAAUCCAAGGCGUGGGAUUUUCGGAAGAGGCCAGGGGACCAGUGUACCCGACACGUUCGCAGCUUCACGGGGGUUCUCGUCGCCUACAAACAUCAACACCAGUUAAAUGGAUAUGCGUCUGAUUUUACCAUACACGAACACUUCGCUGGACUGCAUACACUCUGAACUGCCCAAUAACCAUCCACCCCAUCAUAAUCAUAUCCUCAACUAAGAGAAAAAAAUACCACAAGAUGCUAUAGUUACGAACGUUCAUUUAGUAUUCAUAACUUCAAAAACAAUGGAAAACGAAUAGUACAACACGAAGGCCUGAAUAGUCACAACACUACAAGUUAUAAUACAAGGAAACCAUAGCACAGAGGCUAAACUCGGCGAAAUGAAGACAAAACUGUUGAAUUUUGGACUACUCUUAUACAAGGAAAGUAACACAGGAUGCUCUGGAACAGAACACUCGAACCUGGAAUACAAGGAUACUAUGGUAUGGUACUGCUUAAGGCGGAUCGGAACACGAAACUAGAGAUUGCUGUGACUAGAUGUGGCUCUCCUCUCCGUCGGGGGUUACUUGCUACGUACACCACAAUCCACUUUGUUUAGUUUAAGAGCUGUGCGUUAAUAAAACGUAAACGUCA